CCUACGGGGGGCAGCAGUGAGGAAUAUUGGUCAAUGGCCGGAAGGCUGAACCAGCCAUGCCGCGUGACGGUCAGUGCCCUAUGGGCGUUAAACUUCUUUUGUGCGGGAGCAAUAAUGGUCACGUGUGGCCAGACGAGAGUACCGUACGAAUAAGCAUCGGCUAACUACGUGCCAGCAGCCGCGGUGAUACGGGGGAUGCACGCGUUAUCCGGAUUUAUUGGGUUUAAGGGUACGUAGGCUGGGAGGUAAGUCAGCGGUGAAAUGCCCCCGCUGAAGGGGGUGAAGUGCCAUUGAUACUGGCUUGCUGGAAUGCGGAUGUGGUGGGAGGAAUGUGUGGUGUAGCGGUGAAAUGCAUAGAUAUCACACAGAACACCGAUUGCGAAGGCAUCUCACGAAUCCGCGAUUGACGCUGAUGCACGAAAGCGUGGGUAUCAAACAGGAUUAGAUACCCUGGUAGUC
This 459-nucleotide ribosomal RNA is filed under the name uncultured bacterium. Its description in RNAcentral is "partial 16S ribosomal RNA". It matches the Rfam family "Bacterial small subunit ribosomal RNA", at positions 338 to 795 of the family's 1533-position model. The record is from RNAcentral.